Alexandromys fortis (reed vole) is the source of this 412-nucleotide long non-coding RNA. RefSeq lists it as uncharacterized. NCBI's taxonomy places the organism in Eukaryota, Metazoa, Chordata, Mammalia, Rodentia, Cricetidae. The transcript is spliced from 4 exons. The record is from RefSeq and is a predicted model, not a curated record.
GCAGGUUAAGAUCCUCUCUGAGAAAGAAGCAUGAGACUACUAUGAAUUGUGAUAUUCUAUCCAGUUUGUGCUAUGGAGGCCACACUAUCACAGAAAUGAACCACUGCUUAUCAUCUCUACUCCUGGAAAGGUUGCCUCUGACCUGGAGCUCAAUUCUCUCCUGGACAAGAAAGGAAGAAGGCAUUUCCAGGUGAACAGAAACCUUGCCUCUCUUAGAAACAUAAAGACCAUGCUCUGGUUGGUGCGAGGGGAUAAUUGUUGCUGAGAAGACAGCCAGAUACUAUCCACAAGACAAGACAAAUCCAAUUGAAUGUUUGUAUGCGUAUGAGACAAAUUUUAUUUCUCCAGAGUGUUGGGAAUGUUUCUUAGAUAUAUACUUCUUGUCUAGGUCUAAAAUAAUAAAGAAGAUAGA